AUUCAGUCAGCAAUACUGCUCACUGACGUGCACUCCUUUUUUCACCAGGGGGAGUAUUAUUCGACUACCCAACCGACGGCCUCACUCGCCCACUGUCUCCUACUACCCCUGCUCUCAAACACAGCACAGAGUUUCUUCAGAAUAUAAGAUGGCUAUACCAUAACUUCGAUCGUUUUCAGCUGUCAGAUUUCGAGGAGCAGGAAAUAUCAAAUAUCUUUGUGUUUUCAAAAUCAACAACGAAUGUAUUCAAGGGAGUACUAUUUUUUAAAAUAGAAUUGAAUUCUUUAUUAAAUAAUAAAUUUAGAUUUCGGACAUUUCAGAAAUUUCGGUUGUUUCAAUUAACUUCAGCAAUUUAAUGCUGUGGUUGGACUGUGGGGGCUUUGUAGACCGUAGUGGCGGUGUAACCGGACCAUUUUUGGCUGGGGCAGUGUAAGUGGGAGUAGAAGGCUUGUAAGUAGGAGCGGAGUAGGUGUUAGCUUUAUAGUUGGAUGCGACGUAUUCGGGGUACUUGUUGCAUAGGUGUACUUGACGUCUGCAGUGUAACCGUAUUUUUAGAAAUAUUUUUAG
Molecule: long non-coding RNA, 567 nt
Organism: Daphnia pulicaria
Lineage: Eukaryota; Metazoa; Arthropoda; Branchiopoda; Diplostraca; Daphniidae
Exons: 3
Source: RefSeq, a predicted model, not a curated record